Molecule: non-coding RNA, 2649 nt
Organism: Myodes glareolus (Bank vole)
Lineage: Eukaryota; Metazoa; Chordata; Mammalia; Rodentia; Cricetidae
Source: RefSeq, a predicted model, not a curated record
GUGUGUAUGUCUUUGUAUUCUCUAUGUUUGUCUAUGUUUUCCCUUUCUUUAAGUAAUUAAUGUCUAGCUUUAUGUAUAGCUUUAUGUCCAUUUACCCCGCCGUCCAUCGCAUCCAGCCGCCUGACUCUGCCGCUCGCCUGGGGACCCUGACUCCCCGGCUGCAUGGCGCUGCCACUUGCAGCUGCUCCGCGAGCUGCCCGGGACAUCCCACCAUGGUAUUAUUUUUUAAAAAAGAACAAUACCCAUGAUUCAUGAUCCCACUGACUGUAAGGGGCAAGAAAGAUACUUUUACAGUGAUAUUGAUUACUGCAGAUUCACAGUUUUGAAACAGGGACAUAGAGGUUUCUGUGACAACCCCUACCACCACUCUGCCACCCCCAAAACAUAACAGCAAAGUAAAAAAGAAUAAAAACGUGUAGCUCUCCAAAAUUGAUGACAUCUGGUGGGGUGCAGGUGGAAAAGGUCCCAGUGUCCUUUAAGGGGAUGGCCACUGAGAGUUUGACCAUGCUCCAGUGAGUACAUGGGCAACAGAAAAUGGACUCAUAUUUUUUCCUUUCCUUAUUUUUCUUUGUUCGUUCCUUCCUUCCUCCCCCUUUUUUCCUUUCUUUCUUCUUCUUCUUUUUUGUUGGGAGAGGUUAGAAGGGUGGGGGGAUAUUCAUGCAGGGACUAGGAAGUCAGUGUGAUUGAGAUGCAUUAUGGAAAUUCCCAAAUAAGCAAUACAAAUAUUAUGCUGGAAAAAUAAAAAAGAAACACAUUUGAGGAGUCAAGAGCCAAAGAUUGUGGUUUUUAAUUUUGCAAUGUUUCCCCUGGAGGACACAAAAUGUUAAAUAAAACAUUUUAUAAUAUAAGAAAGUGUAGUGAGCUGCUUUGUACCGCACCUUAAAGAUGGCACUGACUGCUGCUCUCCACCCCCUGGGUGGAAUGUGCUUUCAACUGUAAACAACUCCAUACAUGGCAAAAACUAAGAAUCUGGCUUAUUUCUGUGUACCUGGACCUAUCCGUAUUCCCCACGUGGCUUGCUGGAGUUGGCUACACAGGGGCUAUUUUAGAUGUGGGCUGGCUUUCCCCAGAAGAGAAGAUUAUUCAAGGUUUCCUGAUUAAACUGCAAUUGAGAAGAGUCUGGUGUUGCGUUUUCUUUGCUGGCCAAAGUCCGCCACAGUUGGUGCCGAACCCCGGGAGGCGCUUAUCAAGGACCCAGAACUCAUUGCAGUCAGGGCAGUGCACUGGAAUCGUCCUCAGGUAACAGGACUGGAGAAUUUGGUGCCAUGAUGGAACAGCUGAGGGUGGCCAUCGUUGAAGUGAACUCUACCCAAGUUGGAUGCUGGCAUGGUUGUCCUGGAUUUCUGCAGCCAUAAAUCAUCUGAAGGAGUGGGCAGGUUUGGGAGCGUUAGCUGGCCUUCUGGUGUUGGUCUCUCUAGCCUGCCUGUGGUGUAUCUGUCGGAUUAGGGACACUCAGCAUCGCAGUACAGCCAUGAUUAUACAAGCAUUCAUGGUUAUAGAGGCUGGCCAAUCCCCCCAAGCAAGGUUAGCCGCUAUGAAACAAUAAUUUGACGCAUCCAGGGUGCGAGGCAAGGCACUGCACUCAAGGGCGGCCUUUUGCUAACCUUGAGAAGAGCACACCUAGCUGCAUGUGGGUUGAUGCCCUAGUUACCACCUCUGAAAAAUGUCAUCGGGCUAGUCUGGCACUCUUUAAGUGGAAGACACCUAAGGAGGAUCAGUACAAGGCUCUUGUUUUUACAGAGAGCAGGCCUCUACUCUUACCUGUGGCCUCUAAAACAAAAAGGGGGAGAUGUAGUGAGCUGCUUUGUGCCGCACCUUAAAGAUGGCACUGACUGCUGCUCUCCACCCCCUGGGUGGGAUGUGCUUUCAACUGUAAACAACUCCAUACAUGGCAAAAACUAAGAAUCUGGCUUGUUUCUGUGUACCUGGGCCUAUCCGUAUUCAACACGUGGCUUGUUGGAGUUGGCUACACAGGGGCUAUUUUAGAUGUGGGCUGGCUUUCCCCAGAAGAGAAGAUUAUUCAAGGUUUCCUGAUUAAACUGCAAUUGAGAAGAGUCCGGUGUUGUGUUUUCUUUGCUGGCCAAAAUCCACCACAAGAAAGGACAGGCAGGAGAAUGCAGCCAGCCCUCCACUCCACAACAAAGAAGCAAGUGCCCUUUGCUCUCUGUGGUGACUAUUGGUAUUGAUUCACACUGCCAAAAACAUUUUAUUGACAGGGAAGCCACAGCUGGACAAUUGACACAAAAAAACUUGUCACUAAUAUAUUUUUACAGUAAAAAAAGGCUGUGAAUGUACCAGUAUGUGAUUGAAGCAACCAAACACUUGACCACUUUCCAGGUGACAUGUCCUUCGGAGGAGCCAAGUUGAGAACCUCAGGUAUGGGGACUGUGUCAGUGUGGAUUUGCUGCUGGACACAGAGUCUGUACUGUCACAGCUUGUUUCUCAGAGCAUCCUAACCACAUCAGCAGAAGGCCUGGGUUACCUAGAGCACUCAGUGACCUUGCGUUCCAACAAGCAGCCAGAAGAAAGGAAUGUGACUUCUUUUUUAUAUACCAAUAAUUCAUGAAAUGAAAUUCAGUAUACCUAAAUAUAUUUCAGUGUUAUUGAUCUUUUAAGAAACUCAGACUUAAAUUUAUAUUUACAAAUUGA